CCUACGGGAGGCAGCAGUGGGGAAUCUUCCGCAAUGGGCGAAAGCCUGACGGAGCAACGCCGCGUGAUCGAAUGAAGGCCUUCGGGUUGUAAAGAUCUGUUGACAGGGACGAAUAAGCCAUGCGAAUAGUUUGGUGUAUGACGGUACCUGAUUAGAAAGCUCCGGCUAACUACGUGCCAGCAGCCUCGGUAAUACGUAGGGAGCAAGCGUUGUCCGGAAUUACUUGGCGUAAAGGGCGCGCAGGUGGGUGCUUAAGUCAGGUGAGAAAACUCUGGGCUCAACCUGGAGACUGCACUUGAAACUGGAGAUCUUGAGGGCGGGAGAGGAAAGUGGAAUUCCUGGUGUAGCGGUGAAAUGCGUAGAUAUUAGGAGGAACACCAGUGGCGAAGGCGACUUUCUGGACUGUACCUGACGCUGAGGCGCGAAAGCGUGGGUAGCGAACGGGAUUAGAUACCCUUGUAGUC
This 464-nucleotide ribosomal RNA is filed under the name uncultured bacterium. RNAcentral describes it as "partial 16S ribosomal RNA". It matches the Rfam family "Bacterial small subunit ribosomal RNA", at positions 338 to 795 of the family's 1533-position model. The record is from RNAcentral.